Molecule: long non-coding RNA, 236 nt
Organism: Brienomyrus brachyistius
Lineage: Eukaryota; Metazoa; Chordata; Actinopteri; Osteoglossiformes; Mormyridae
Exons: 3
Source: RefSeq, a predicted model, not a curated record
GGUUAUUCUACCGAGGUCUGGCUCGAACCAGUGUUCACGGACACAGGGCUAUUCUACCGAGGCCCGGCUCGAACCAGUGUUCCCGGCCACAGGGUUAUUCUACCGAGGCCCGGCUCGAACCAGUGUUCACGGACACAGGGUUAUUCUACCGAGGCCCGGCUCGAACCAGUGUUCACGGGCACAGGGUUAUUCUACCGAGGCCCGGCUCGAACCAGUGUUCACGGGCACAGGGUUAU